GAUUAUGGCUCAGGACGAACGCUGGCGGCACGCUUAACACAUGCAAGUCGAACGGAGUUAUUUGGAGCUUGCUCUGAAUAACUUAGUGGCGGACGGGUGAGUAACACGUGAGCAACCUGCCUUUGAGAGUGGAAUAGCUUCUGGAAACGGAUGGUAAUACCGCAUAACAUUACCGGACCGCAUGAUCUGGUAAUCAAAAGAUUUAUCGCUCAAAGAUGGGCUCGCGCCUGAUUAGAUAGUUGGUGGGGUAACGGCCUACCAAGUCGACGAUCAGUAGCCGGACUGAGAGGUUGGACGGCCACAUUGGGACUGAGACACGGCCCAGACUCCUACGGGAGGCAGCAGUGGGGAAUAUUGCACAAUGGGCGGAAGCCUUGAUGCAGCGAUGCCGCGUGGAGGAAGAAGGUUUUCGGAUUGUAAACUCCUUAUCUGAGGGACGAUAAUGACGGUACCUCAGGAGAAAGCUCCGGCUAACUACGUGCCAGCCGCCGC
RNAcentral lists this ribosomal RNA (492 nucleotides) under uncultured bacterium. Its description in RNAcentral is "bacterial SSU rRNA". It matches the Rfam family "Bacterial small subunit ribosomal RNA", at positions 15 to 518 of the family's 1533-position model. The record is from RNAcentral.